This 484-nucleotide ribosomal RNA is filed under the name uncultured bacterium. RNAcentral's name for it is "partial 16S ribosomal RNA". It matches the Rfam family "Bacterial small subunit ribosomal RNA", at positions 30 to 507 of the family's 1533-position model. The record is from RNAcentral.
AUUGAACGCUGGCGGCAGGCCUAACACAUGCAAGUCGAGCGGAUGAAGGGAGCUUGCUCCUGGAUUCAGCGGCGGACGGGUGAGUAAUGCCUAGGAAUCUGCCUGGUAGUGGGGGAUAACGUCCGGAAACGGGCGCUAAUACCGCAUACGUCCUGAGGGAGAAAGUGGGGGAUCUUCGGACCUCACGCUAUCAGAUGAGCCUAGGUCGGAUUAGCUAGUUGGUGGGGUAAAGGCCUACCAAGGCGACGAUCCGUAACUGGUCUGAGAGGAUGAUCAGUCAAAACUGAAAUUAGACAAGGUCCCGGACCCCUAGGGGAGGCGGCAGUGGGAAUUAUUGGACAAUGGGGAAAAGCCGAAUCAGCCAAUGCCGGUGGUGUAAAGAAGUUUUUGGAAUUGUAAGCACUUUAAGUUGGGAGGAAGGGCAGUAAGUUAAUACCUUGCUGUUUUGACGUUACCAACAGAAUAAGCACCGGCUAACUUCGUG